This 639-nucleotide ribosomal RNA is filed under the name uncultured bacterium. Its description in RNAcentral is "bacterial SSU rRNA". It matches the Rfam family "Bacterial small subunit ribosomal RNA", at positions 188 to 845 of the family's 1533-position model. The record is from RNAcentral.
GCAUCGUCUUUUGACCAAAGAUUUAUCGCUGAAAGAUGGGCUCGCGGCCGAUUAGGUAGUUGGUGAGAUAAUAGCCCACCAAGCCGACGAUCGGUAGCCGGACUGAGAGGUUGAACGGCCACAUUGGGACUGAGACACGGCCCAGACUCCUACGGGAGGCAGCAGUGGGGGAUAUUGCACAAUGGGGGAAACCCUGAUGCAGCGACGCCGCGUGAGGGAAGACGGCCUUCGGGUUGUAAACCUCUGUCUUCGGGGACGAAUAAAUGACGGUACCCGAGGAGGAAGCCACGGCUAACUACGUGCCAGCAGCCGCGGUAAUACGUAGGUGGCAAGCGUUGUCCGGAAUUACUGGGUGUAAAGGGAGCGUAGGCGGGGAGGCAAGUUGAAUGUCUAAACUAUCGGCUCAACUGAUAGUCGCGUUCAAAACUGCCACUCUUGAGUGCAGUAGAGGUAGGCGGAAUUCCUAGUGUAGCGGUGAAAUGCGUAGAUAUUAGGAGGAACACCAGUGGCGAAGGCGGCCUACUGGGCUGUAACUGACGCUGAGGCUCGAAAGCGUGGGUAGCAAACAGGAUUAGAUACCCUGGUAGUCCACGCCGUAAACGAUGAUUACUAGGUGUGGGGGGACUGACCCCUUCCGUG